ACGUUCCCAUAAUCCUCACACUCACCGUUGCAGAGAAGAACCUUGUUUGGUGCCUACAAAUACAAUAAUCAGUUAACUGAUUAACCUUAAUAAAUCACAUGUGAUAAAGAAAGAAAGAGAGUCUCAAAUUUCUGUUAAUUUUAGUUUUCGUUUCGUAUCACGCUUUUCAUCUUCCAUUUUCCCUCACUUUCUGUUACCUCCAAACACUGUCGAAUUCUUCUUCGUUCUCUGCGACACAUGGAGAUGUCAAUGGAGGAUUCGCGCUCGUACGAGAUUCUCUCCAUGGCUCUCGAAGCUUUCCUCCGACGCGGACGAUCUCCCCGAUUACCGAACAGUUCUAUACCGAUUACGCCACGAAUAUCUCCUUUUACGCCGUCGUUUUAAGGUCCUUUCUUGGCUCUCCGAAUUUCUUCGUUUCUUUCGCUGUUUAUGCUCGGAAUUCCAACAGUAGGAUAUCGUUGUCUCGUGAUUUCCCGUUUCAUUCGUGAAUCAUUUGUUGUUAGUGACUUUAGAUUGGUUAUUUGUCUCUGUGCAAAGUUUGGAUAUAUGAGAAUUUUCAGCGCGAGUUAGUCUCGGAAAGUUUUCUGUUAUGCUAUGUUAGGGUUUGGAACCAAGUCUGCAAUGUCUCUGAAACCUUGAUCUGGAAUUUAAGGGAGAUUCCUGUUAGGAGUUUCGUGGUUUUGGAAUUUAAGAGAGGUUCCUGUUGUGUUUGUGUGUUGAUUGAUUAUUGAAUAUUGUCUAGUGUUGAAUUUUUCGUUUGACUUUUUGGUUGGGGAAAUUUUAAUGGCUGGAAAGUUGGAAUUGGGGCCUCCGAAGUCUGAUGUUUCCAAUCCGAAGGAACAAGCGGCGAGGAAGAUACUGAAAAUUGUUAGAUCUCAAGGGCAUCCGUAUGUUGAGUUGCGCGAGAAUGGGAAGAAAUUCAUUUAUUUCUGCACUCUGUGUCUUGCGCCCUGUUAUAGUGAUGAUGUUCUGUUUGAUCACUUGAAAGGCAAUCUUCACAAGGAGAGACUAUCUGCUGCUAAGGUCACUCUGCUUGGACCGAAACCCUGGCCUUUUAACGAUGGUCUUGUUUUCUUUGAUACUUCGACUGAAAGUCAUAAAGAGUUGGAAGUUGCAGAUAGUUACCAAAACAGGUUGUUGAAGUUUAAUGACAAUGACGUCAGUCUUGCGAUUGUGAAGUUUGGUGAUGGGGUUCAGUCAAAUGCUAAACCACGUUCGAUUGAUGGUAUGCAAGAUGAUGAGUAUGCAUUAGUGAUUCCUAAUUUGCUGAUUGGAGAUGAAAUAUUUGAUGUAAAAGUUAGGGAAGUUGGCUUGGGGAAGAUUGCCGCAAGAUUCCUUGAGAAGUGUCACGCAUUGAAUGGGAUUAAAAGAAUAUGGUGUGAAUGGUUAGGCAAAGAAAGUAAUGGUGAACGAGAUGGUGUUGAGGUUCUAGAGCAUGAUUUUGCAGUUGUGAUUUUUGCUUAUAAUUAUGAUCUGGGUCGGUCAGGUUUGCUUGAUGAUGUCAACACGUUGCUCCCGUCUGCUUCUGGUGGCCAAAAGGGAAAGUCAUCAUUGUCUGACUUUGAUGAUGUUAGCGAUUCUGUAUGCAAUCAGUAUGAUUCGUCUGCAGAAGAGUCCUCUGAUUCAAACAACUCCAGCUCACGAUUGACACUAGAUCAAUUCAACAAUCAUCUUUGCACAAGGUUCAUUUCAAGCAAGGCUUUGAGGAAAGAAUUGAGACGGAAGCAGCGGCUGGCAGCAGAGAAAGUGUGUAACAUCUGUCAACAAAAAAUGCUUCCUGGUAAAGAUGUAGCAGCUCUUUUGAAUUUGAAGACUAGAAGAGUGGCGUGCAGCAGUCGGAAUAGAACCGGGGCAUUUCACGUAUUCCAUACAUCCUGCCUUAUACACUGGAUAAUCUUGUGUGAAUUUGAGAUAAUCACAAAUCAUUUAGUCUGUCCAAAUGUUAGACGAGUAGUGAAGAGAAAGGUUGCGUCAGAUGGCAACAAAAUUGGAAAAGAAAAAGAUAUUGGAAAACAUAUAAGAACUGUAUUCUGCCCAGAGUGCCAAGGUACUGGUAUGAUCAUUGAUGGAGAUGGGGUGGAGCAGCCAGAAUUUUCUUUGUCGCAGAUGUUCAAAUUCAAAAUAAAGGCAUGUGAUGCACGCAGAGAUUGGAUAAAGAGUCCUGAAGUUUUGAAGAAUUGCUCAACUGGGUUUCACUUCCCUUCACAAUCUGAAGAGAUAUUUGAGGAAAAAGUGGAACCCAUAAAUUUACUGCAUUUUUAUCGUGCUGAUGAUCAGAGUUGGGCAUAACAACCGGGCAAACGUUUCUUAUACAUCUGAAAGCUGUGUUAGGAAGAUGAUUUACAGGAGGAAGAGGCAAGAGUGCUGAGCUGGCAUGAAGAAGGAAGGGGAGUUUAUCGUUUGAAAGAUAUAGGAAAAUCCAGAAGCCAAGUAGAGAUUGGAGGGCACAUGCAAAGACUCGGAACCCUUGCAGAGUUGCUUCCUAGAGGACCUGUACCACCUUCAGCACCAAGUCCUGACAUAAACUGAUACAUAUCAGUGUUCCAUUUGUCUAUCUACAUUGUUGGCUUGGCUGUUACAAUUUACACGUACCUUGUGAAAUUAAUUAUAUCGUGGUAGCAACAAAUUCUUUAAAUUAUUCACAUUUAGGGGUU
Glycine soja is the source of this 2654-nucleotide RNA transcript. RefSeq lists it as uncharacterized. The record is from RefSeq and is a predicted model, not a curated record. Lineage: Eukaryota; Viridiplantae; Streptophyta; Magnoliopsida; Fabales; Fabaceae. The transcript is spliced from 6 exons.